Molecule: long non-coding RNA, 981 nt
Organism: Ixodes scapularis (black-legged tick)
Lineage: Eukaryota; Metazoa; Arthropoda; Arachnida; Ixodida; Ixodidae
Exons: 3
Source: RefSeq, a predicted model, not a curated record
UAACGAAAAAGCGCUUGUAACUCCCGAUGCGGAAGGAAAAUGACUACGAAUGGAAGCGGUGAUCAAAGCAGGAAGGGGACUGCUUUUUCAGCCAGUGAAUGCGGUCUGGGCUGGACAUAAUUUCCAGGCAAGUAAACGAGCAUUGUCAUGUUGUGCCCCCUGUCCACAGUGAUGUGCCCCCCGUCUACAGUGACUAGCAGUUGCACUGAUCUUCUCAACAUUAUCCCCUGGCUGGUAUGACUGGCAGAGCAGCAAGGAUGGCUCGUUUUCCCUAGGUUACGUGAUGCUGCGCACGGAGUGAUGAUUUCAACUACCCAACGAGGCAUGGGGAUCGUCUUUUUCUUUCAGCAGUGUUGCGAGUCUUUAUUUGGGUGGUGUUGUACCUGAAUGAGUUAAUAAAUGUUACGAGUCGCAGAGACAAUAUAUGAUGUUUUCAAGAAUUUGGCAAAUUAUCAUCCCAACAUCUUCAUUAUGGAGGUUGCAUGCACAUAAUAUGUGCAUGGGUGUGAAGUUUAGUGUGAGUGAACGAUCAUAAAAAAGGUCAACUCAUUUUGUCUUGCCUUUAUUGCACUGGAAGAAUUGUAAUGUAUUUUUUCUUUCACGAGGCAAUAAUAUUUUGAUUGUGGAGUGGACACAAAAGUGUUGUGCCCUCGAAUCGAGCUUGGUGCAAACCUGUGCAUAGUAAUAAAUCUUUUGGAGCAAAAAAAAAUUAAACCGGUGGCUAUUGUUUCAUUAGAUAUUGUUUCGGGGAGAGUUGGUAAGCACUCCUCAGCACAGUGCUAAACAAUGCUUUCGGCACAUCCAUUUGUGAAAUGUUGCAGAAAUCUUAGGAAAAGAAGGUAUGCUUUCUUUCAGCAAAGCCCUUCUUCGACAAACUUCAUGUAAGAUGUAAUUCGAGAAGUAUGUUUUGUGGUGAACAGCUAGUGCACAAAUACAGUAAUAAAACACGUCAAAACUUGUUGGAACAAAAAAUUGGUGAAG